CUUUAAUGAGCUUAACCCGGACUCGCGUGGACUAACGACCUCCUUAGCCGUUCUUCGCGAGGAACCCCAAAAUUGGGCGGACUCGUAAGCCAGAGCAAACCGAGAGAGAUCUUCCCUUCGUCCUCACCGCUGCCUUCCCUUCGUCCUUCGUCCUCAUCGCUGCCUUCCCUUCGUCCUCAUCUCAGCGUCCCGUCGAAGCCGGUGCGGAAGACGAGUUCCGUGGCCAGAGGGGUCACAAGUACCGCCCCGUCGUCGACAACGAUCGGGCCGUGCUCGAGAUGUCGCCCAUGGAUCCUUCCUCCUCCUCUUCUUCGUCGUCUUCUCUCCCGGUU
Molecule: long non-coding RNA, 332 nt
Filed under: Malus domestica (apple)
Lineage: Eukaryota; Viridiplantae; Streptophyta; Magnoliopsida; Rosales; Rosaceae
Description: long non-coding RNA (MDOM_LNC005212)
Source: RNAcentral